GAAAGAGAUAUAGAGACUUCCAAGAUUGAUGUCAGCCUUAUUAGGUAGAUGAGACAGGAAGAACAACCAGGCAAGCAGACUUCAUUCUACUAGCAGAAAUGUUGAUUUUGCCUGCAACUCCAGCAGACGGCACUCACAAUUUCACUGCUCCCUACAACUAUCUGAGGCCAAACCAGAGUCUGAAAAAUCAAGGACCAUCUUCAGCUUUACCUGACAAGAUAGAUCUUUUUGCAGACAGAUCAUCAUAUAACCAUUAUUACAAGGUUGUCCUAACUAUCAUUGCUUUCAAAGGAAGUGGGGAAACUUUGCUAUAUAUACAAAAAUAUAACUACAGGCUUUAGUAUGUAUUACAAAUCGUCUGGAAAGUUACUGUAACUGACCAAGCUAUAUUAAAACACUUUGCACAGCUA
Molecule: long non-coding RNA, 410 nt
Organism: Pantherophis guttatus
Lineage: Eukaryota; Metazoa; Chordata; Lepidosauria; Squamata; Colubridae
Source: RefSeq, a predicted model, not a curated record